GCAAAUCAAACAAUUAUAAUAAAAAUAAUUAUAAUAAUGUGGUGUAAACGUGAGUAAAAAUAAAGAAUAAUGAACUAUAAAUAUUAUUAAAAAUAAUAUAAGUCCCACCGACCCAAUACAGCUAAGCUGUCUUGGGUCGGCGGGGGAAUAAAUAAUAUAUAAUAUAAUAUAUAUAUUAGUUUUAUAGUCAAGCUUUAAAUGGUUUAAGGUAGUAGGUAUAGUAAGAGUUUACCUAGCCAACGAUCCAUAAUCAAUAAUUAACGUUAUAAUGAUCACGUUGAUUCUG
This 286-nucleotide ribosomal RNA is filed under the name Naumovozyma dairenensis. RNAcentral's name for it is "partial small subunit ribosomal RNA". The record is from RNAcentral. Lineage: Eukaryota; Fungi; Ascomycota; Saccharomycetes; Saccharomycetales; Saccharomycetaceae.